Molecule: transfer RNA, 68 nt
Filed under: Vibrio lentus
Lineage: Bacteria; Pseudomonadati; Pseudomonadota; Gammaproteobacteria; Vibrionales; Vibrionaceae
Also listed under: 2 other names
Description: tRNA-Met
Source: RNAcentral
GCCCCUUAGCUCAGUGGUUAGAGCGCACGACUCAUAAUCGUUCGGUCCCCAGUUCUUAUUGGGGGGUA